RNAcentral lists this ribosomal RNA (468 nucleotides) under uncultured bacterium. RNAcentral's name for it is "partial 16S ribosomal RNA". It matches the Rfam family "Bacterial small subunit ribosomal RNA", at positions 28 to 507 of the family's 1533-position model. The record is from RNAcentral.
GACGAACGCUGGCGGCGUGCUUAAUACAUGCAAGUCGAACGAAGAAGCUCCAGCUUGCUGGAGUGGAUCAGUGGCGAACGGGUGUGUAACACGUGAGCAACCUGCCCCUGACUCUGGGAUAAGCGCUGGAAACGGCGUAUCAUACUGGAUACGAGAAGGGUCAGCAUGGGCACUUUCUGGAAAGUUGUGCGGUUCGGGAUGGGAUGGCGGCCUAUCAGCUUGUUGGUGAGGUAAUGGCUCACCAAGGCGACGACGGGUAGCCGGCCUGAGAGGGCGACCGGGCACACUGGGACUGAGAGACGGACCAGUCGCGUACGGGAGGCAGCAGUGGGGAAUAUUGCGCAAUGAGCGAGAGCCUGAUGCAGAGACGCCGCGUGAGUGAUGACGUCUUACGGGGUGUAAACCACUUUCUGCAGGGAAGAAGCGAAAGUGACGGUACCUGCAGAAAAAGCACCGGCUAACUACGUG